This 516-nucleotide ribosomal RNA is filed under the name Clonostachys aff. rosea ROG-2010. RNAcentral's name for it is "eukaryotic LSU rRNA". The stretch from base 173 to 327 matches the Rfam family "5.8S ribosomal RNA". Lineage: Eukaryota; Fungi; Ascomycota; Sordariomycetes; Hypocreales; Bionectriaceae. The record is from RNAcentral.
GCGGAGGGAUCAUUACCGAGUUUACAACUCCCAAACCCAUGCUGAACAUACCUAUUGUUGCUUCGGCGGGAUUGCCCCGGGCGCCUCGCGUGCCCCGGAUCAGGCGCCCGCCUAGGAAACUUAACUCUUGUUUUAUUUGGAAUCUUCUGAGUAGUUUUUACAAAUAAAUAAAAACUUUCAACAACGGAUCUCUUGGUUCUGGCAUCGAUGAAGAACGCAGCGAAAUGCGAUAAGUAAUGUGAAUUGCAGAAUUCAGUGAAUCAUCGAAUCUUUGAACGCACAUUGCGCCCGCCAGGUAUUCUGGCGGGCAUGCCUGUCUGAGCGUCAUUUCAACCCUCAUGCCCNUAGGGNGUGGUGUUGGGGAUCGGCCAAAGCCCGCGAGGGACGGCCGGCCCCUAAAUCUAGUGGCGGACCCGUCGUGGCCUCCUCUGCGAAGUAGUGAUAUUCCGCAUCGGAGAGCGACGAGCCCCUGCCGUUAAACCCCCAACUUUCCAAGGUUGACCUCAGAUCAGGUAG